GUAGAUUACCUCACUACACUACAAAAACCUUCCUCUGAUCCACAUUACCACCAAGACAACACCUGGAAUGGUUUGAUUUAGUGCCAAUAAAAACACAAACAUAUUCAGCAAUUGAAGAGUGUAGUGCUGGUAAGGAGGGGUCAAAUGGCUGUGACCACUGAUAUGAUGUCAUGUCCUGUAUAGCUUCAAGUUAAAUUAUGCCAUUUUGUUUCAGUUUGGAAUUAGCAACAGUCAACAUGACCAGGGCUAUUAUAAUACUGCUUCACUUACUCUACUGGAUCCAAGGUGCUGUCAGAGCAAAUGAUGUCAUUCAGCCCAAUAUAAUCUGGGCUAAAAUCGGUGAAUUAGCCACGAUCAACUGCAAACAUACAAAGGAUGCAACUUACAAUCAAAUGUACUGGUUCCGUCAGCAUCAAGGAGAG
Molecule: long non-coding RNA, 422 nt
Organism: Pygocentrus nattereri (red-bellied piranha)
Lineage: Eukaryota; Metazoa; Chordata; Actinopteri; Characiformes; Serrasalmidae
Exons: 3
Source: RefSeq, a predicted model, not a curated record